UCGGUGACCUUUGGCAGUUAAGGAGAGAAGAAUGGAGCCUAAGACCUGAGUGCCCCUGGAGUGACAAACAGUGGGAAGUCUGACUCCGUACCAUGUACAGUGCUUCAAGCCUGGAAAAUCAUAUACAAUAUGCUGGGGAUGGAAGUCAGAGCUUGCACUUUGCCACUGAGUUAUACCUCAGCCGUGGAGCUGAUUUUUAUACCAUCAGAUCGGCAAGAAUUAUUGCACGGGCAGCACCCAGCGCCACAUAUUAGGACAUUAACGGGGCUCACACAGGACAGAGGUAACAGGAACCGGUUUACCACCUGGCCAGCAAGCUGCCUCUACCUUAUGGAGUUGGUACCCAAGGCCCCAAGGCCCCACGAUGCCACUCUUGGCCACAGGCCCUGGAGAUGCUCUUGUAGAAAUAAACCUGGGACAAGUACGUU
Chinchilla lanigera (long-tailed chinchilla) is the source of this 428-nucleotide long non-coding RNA. RefSeq lists it as uncharacterized. NCBI's taxonomy places the organism in Eukaryota, Metazoa, Chordata, Mammalia, Rodentia, Chinchillidae. The record is from RefSeq and is a predicted model, not a curated record. The transcript is spliced from 2 exons.